This is a non-coding RNA of Podarcis muralis (Common wall lizard), 573 nucleotides long. Lineage: Eukaryota; Metazoa; Chordata; Lepidosauria; Squamata; Lacertidae. The record is from RefSeq and is a predicted model, not a curated record.
GAAGCACGCAGCGCUUUGCUGAAGCCAGGGCUUCUUUAUCCCAGAACCCUUCUUGAAUGCCAAGAACCUGAAAAGCAGAGGUGGUGGGGUGGGGGACCCGAGGCCUUCCCAGUCGCUUCUGCACGCCAACUUCCACCAGCUUUGCCCGCUUUUCACAGAAUCCUCAACGCAUCUGGAGGGUCGCAGGUUCCCGCGCCGAUCAAGAGCCUCUGAGCAUGUCCAGAGCGCCUGCUGAGCAACCUGUCUACCCUCCCUCACAGAGCUUCGAGAUAAAUGACUUCAAAGCCUCUGAGGUUGGAUUAGCUAGAGAGUCAAGUACUUCACAGAGUGAAACACACCAAUCAUCAUAACACAGGGGGUGACAGCCCAUCAAGAUAGAGCUAUUCCUGACAGAAUGAAGAAGCAGUGCACUGCUUCACUGCUUAUGUUGGUUUUGUCCAAUGGCUGUGGAGCAAUUAUCAUGAUAGUUUUCAGCAGAAGAGUCUGUUUCUUGAACCGAACACAAAAUAUCUGGCUGAGUAGUUGAAACAUCUGAAGAUACGUUCUCCCUCUUUUCCUGUGUGUUAGCUUCCA